Molecule: long non-coding RNA, 6572 nt
Filed under: Sus scrofa (pig)
Lineage: Eukaryota; Metazoa; Chordata; Mammalia; Artiodactyla; Suidae
Description: lncRNA (ENSSSCG00000059010.1)
Source: RNAcentral
AGACCCUGCUGGCCAACUUAGAGUGUGGGCAGUGGUUUAUUAUGUCUGAAUCUGGCUGGGCUGGUGCAGCAGGGACCCAAGCCAUGGUGCUGAAGUCCCCUCCUUGUUUCUCUGAGUAACCACAAGUAGAGACAAAAGAGCCUGUAUUUUAGGUUGAGAACUCCUGUGUUGAGACUCUGCUCUGAUGCUCACUAGCUGGGCAAGUCACUUAACAGUUGAUGAGCCAUUUAGCUUCACUGAUUGUUCAGUUUUCUUAUCUAUAAAAUGAGGCUAAUAAUGCCUUUCUCACAGGAUUUUUGGGAGGGUGAAAUUAGAUAAUGAAUACAAGAAUGGUUGCUAAAUUAUAUAAAGUGUUGCAUACAGUGCUAAUUAGUUCCACUGCAGAUAUUCAGUUCAAUCCAAGAAGCAGGUAUUAAGCACUACUGCUUACCAGGUAGGUCCUAUAUUAGGCACUUCAAAGGGUAGAAUGACGAGUAAGAAUCAGCCCUUGGUGGAAAGAUAAGAUAUAUUGAAUAUAGCUGUGAUGGAAUUCUUUUCCAUGUAGAUUUACAUCUGCAGUGGAAAUGCACUUUCUAGCAAUCUGUGCAGUUCAGGAUAACUUGUUAUACUGGACAUGAGUUAUUUGCCUCUCAUAUAUUCUUUCCCCAUUUUCUGGUAAUUGUAUCCCCCUAUUGUUAUCUGGGAGUCCACCCCUUCCUCUCUCUCAGCCCAUGUGUUUGAGUAGACUCCAUCCCCAGCUCCAGGGGUAGGCCUUCUAAGGCUCAGUCUUAUACAGUCAGUGCAUUUCAUUCCCCCUGCUGACAGUGAUUGUUUCAGGAACUAGCACAUAGUUCAAGUUGGCUAAUCAGAGCCUUUGAGAUUUAAAUAGAGCCAUUGAGAUUUUGUUCAUUUGAAUAAUGGGGAAGUAGGUUCAUACUUUCUCUGAACCUGGAAGUAUGUGGUAUUGGAGCCACUGGGGUCAUAUUGUGGUUCCUUCAGGAGGACCUUUCUAAGGAUGUAUACUAUCCAGAGAAAGCAAAUUUUAGAGAUAAAGAACCAGCUUUUGGUAAUACUUUUUGAGUGACUGGAUCCAGCUGUGCCUGAAGCAAGACCUACCUCAACUUUAUAGCUACAUGUAUUAGUAAAUUCUCUUUUGGUUUUAAGAAAUUCAGAUAGAGUUUUUCUGCCUCCUGACUCACAUCAGGAUGACCUAAAGAAUCCUUCAGUAGGUUCUUUGGAGACCCUGUAGAGAAGACCACACAAGCCAAAUAUUUCAUGGUUGCCCCCUACUACUAUGGUUCUUCCAUAUCCUCACCUACUGAAGACCAUGAAGCUACAUCAGGACCCAAAUAUUUUUUCCAGUUUUACUGAGGUAAAAUUAACAUAGACUAUUGCAUACAACAUGAUGAUUUAAUAUAUGUGUAUAUUUUAAGAUGAUUACCACAACAAGGUUAGUGAACACAUCCAUCACCUCACAUUGUUGUUCUGUGGUAAGAACAUUUAAAAUCUAUCCUUUCAGCUUUCAGGUAUAUAAUGCAGUACAAUUAACUGUAGUCACUAUGCUGUACAAUAGAUCCCAGAACUUACUCAUCUUACAAUUGAAAGUAUGUAUGCUUUGUCCAGUAUCUCCUGAUUUCCCCUACCCUGCCAGCCCCCUUACAACCACUGAUCCAUUCUGUUUCUAUGAGUUCAGCUCUUUUAGAUUCCACAUAUAAGUGAGAUUAUACAGUAUUUGUCUUUCUUCAUCUGACUUAUUUUACUCAGCAUCAUGCCCUCAAAGUCCAUCCAUGUUGCUGCAAAUGGCAAGAUUUUCUUCUUUUUUAUGGCCAAGCACAUCUUUGAACAGGAUACAGGUUCAUCCAGAUGUACCUAUCCUGUGACAAUGACUCAGCCCCUUCUCCCAGGUGGCACCAGGCCUAAAAACUCUUUUCAGAUGUUGUUUACUUCCCUUUCUAUGCCCUCCUUUAAUGAAUUCUGGGACCUGACCUCAUGCAGGGAAUCUUUUCUGACUAAGUAGGGGAAGGCAUGAAUCAUCUUCGAUUUUACAUACCACCACACUAACCCUGUCCAAGAUGUUCCUCAACCAAAGAAGUUGGAUGGGCAGACCACAGAAUCAUCUGGGUGCAGAGAGAGGGGGUGACUUGUCUACCUAAUUUCAGUGUCAGGUCAAGCAACCAGGUCCCUCUGCAUUUCUAAUCUGGCUCUCCUCUCAUUUUGUGACUAGUUUUUUUUCCAUUCUGGGUUUUUGAAUGUGACGUCCUAGAUACUUUAAGGUCAGUGUGGUCCACCUUGACAUUUACACUCCCAGGGAGCAGGGAUGGUUGUGUUCCAUGGGGUCAUAAAGCUAUCUCUGAUUUGGCAUUCUGCUCCCACAAGAGUUUAACAGGCAUUUCUGAUGGCAGGCUGAGGGUGGAGAGCUGCUAUGGGGCUACAGGCUCAGGUGGAUCGAGUUUCAGGCUAGGUGGGGUAGGAGAAUGGGGUGCACAGAAUGGGUCUGUGUGAUGCGUGAGUGGGCCACUUCCAUCAUUGAGUCCCUCACCUGCUGUAGGGACUUUUCUCUUUGGGUUCAUUGUUUUUCUCUGGGAAAUGGGGCUGAUGACUUGCUGUCAGUUCCUUAAUUGAGAGUAUAAUUGAGGACAAGCUCUCCACUAGAUGGUGAGCUUUCUGAGAGCUGCAGCCAGUCUGCAGAGGCUGUGUGAGCGCAUCUGCAUCUCUGCCUGUAUACUCUACUUACCAGCUCCCAGCACUCCCAGUCACUGAAAGGGACAGCUCUCUGUUCCAUGGCAUCCUUCCCCACUCUUGACCUAGCUGAUUGGACCAGGGGUGCAUAGAUGACCUAACUUGAUCCCCUUUCUUCUCCCAAGAAUUUGAAAUGAGGACUUUGAAGGGAGGGGUUGAAGAACUGUGGGUGCUGGAUUGGGAGGGCCUGUGGAGUCAGAGCAUGGGUCAGCUGCACACAGAAGCCUGUGGAAAUCCUAUGUUGUGGAUGAGCUGGUACUUUGACAAAGCCAUUCUACCGAGAGGACUGAACCCAGGAUCAUGCCACCCAGGAACUGAGUACAGAGAAGGGGAGACACUCUGGAUGAUUUUCCUGCUCCUGUGAGGGUUACUUUCACUUCUGACCCUCAGUUUUUCCUUGGGUUUCCCUGGUAGCAAGCAAGAACAUAACACCCUCUACUAGUUGAGCUAAUCUGAGGCAUUUCUGUUCCUCGCAAACAAGUGAUCCCUGAUUAGGACAUUGUCUCACACGUGCCUCAUCCCCUGCUCCUCAUGGCCAACCCUGCGUGUCUGCUGAAUGAAGCUUGAGCAGCUGAGGGCUGGGUGGCUGCAAUGGCAGAGCAUCCUCUGUUCAGAGGGUCCACGGCCUAGGACUACAGCUGUAGACACAAGCUGCUCACCUGGAUGGCGUUGUUGAGGAGGGUGGGCCACUGCGUGUUUCUGGGAUGUUCCUAAGGGAGGCUUGGUUUCAAGGACAGAAGGCAAAUCGCUCUAGCAUCUCCCCCCACCUCAAGCCGCGUGGGACUUGGGUGUUGCUGUAUACAGUGUUCUUACCUACAGCUUUAGAGCCCCUGUGCCUCCAAUUUGCCUGGGACUUGAGGGUCUUUAGUUGCUCCCUGGUCCCCCUUGGGAAACCUAAUACAUCUUGCUUCAGUUCUUUGAGUCUUAAUUACUUGCAAUCUUUCUCUCUCCUCCUCCUGCUUCUUUUCUUUUGAUGUUGAGACCUGUAUACCUGCCAAUUGGAGUCUGUAAUACAAGGGAGCAGGUAUUCUCUGCUUCACCCUCAUGUCCCCUGCACCCAACCUAGCUCCUGACCUCCAGUAGCUGGUUUCCCAGUAGUUGGUUUCCAGCCCUCUCAUAGGGCUUGUAACCUGGAACAUGGUAGGUGCUAGGAGGCAUUUGUGGCAUUGACUUUGGGAGGAAUAUACCUAAUAUAAAGGGAUGCUCUUCAAGGGGGAGCUGUAGAGCUUCAAGUCCUUGGGGGAAUGAAGAAGAGGGAGUGGACUCUGAAAGACAGCAGGGCUAUGGGGGGAGAUGGAAGUAACCAAAGACAUGUUUUGGCAACUGAAUUAGGAUUGUCCACCUGCUACAGCAGAGAAGCUUAAGAUUGUAGUGCUUUAACACAGUACAGGUUUAUUUUUUGUUCAGAUAACAGUAUGUGUGUUUGACAGGUGGCCUCCCAUGUGGUACCUCAAGCUCUCAGACUCCUGCCAUUUUGCAGUUCUGCCAUCCCCUAGGAUGUCAGAGUAGUCUGCUGGAUGGGAUGCUAUAUAUCCAGCUUAGAGGGAGCGAGGGAGGGAGGGGGAGAGAGACAGAGAAAGAGAGAGAGAGAGAGAAACUUGGGUUUCUCUAUGGGUGACUCUUAUGGGCCAUCCUGGAAGUUUUAUCUUUUGUGUCUGAUCCCAUUCCAUUGGGGAGGCUAGUAGCUGAGACAACUGCCAUUGAACAGGUAGUUUAUUAUUCACAGUUCCCAAGAGGGAGGGUGCAUGCCAGGCCAUGUAGCACCACAUGAGGAAGCAGCAGGGUCAGUUAGGAAGUGGGGUAGAGUGAGCGGAACUGCCUGAAAGCCUUUGUUGUGUUUUUCCUGGAAAGGAAUGGGUAUGGCAGGAUAAGCAGUUUUAGGAUUGGCUAGUUUGAAUAAUUUCAGGGGCCUGGGGUACAGGAGCUGCCCUAUUUGUCUGGUGCAUGGCCUGGGGUGAUUAGGGCAGAGGAGUAAUGUUCCAUGGGAUAAGAUCCUGAGAAAGCAGGGUUGGGGGUUUUGAUUAGUUUGCAGCUGAGGGGUAUACUUUUGAUAGACUCUCUAGAAAUUUCUGUCUCUGGAAAUCUGCUUACUCUGGGAGGGCAGAUUCCCCAGGGUCGAUUAGGACACCAGAAUAAAAAGGCAUGCUUGAUUCAAUGACCACACUUACUUGUAAGAAAGGCAAGGAAGUAUAAUCUAGCUGGGUGUCCAAGAGAGAGAUUGGUUUUGGUGAGCACAUUUAGUGUCUACUCCUGUAACCUAAGUGGAAAGAACUUAAAGUUUGGAGUUAGAAGACAUGGAUGGAGCAACUGAUCCUGUGUCAUGGGACUGUGUGAGCUUGGUUGAGUCACUUUCUCAGAACAUCAGUUCUAUUAGCUUUCAAAAGGGGAGAAUAGAUUGAGUUACAUCUCAUGGCAGUUGUUGUACAAGAUGCUUUUGGCAGACUCCAGAGUGCUGAUCCAAUGCUGACUGUUUUUUGUGGGCUUUCCAAGUUUGCAGGGGGCUCCCUGUGGCUCUUGGAGCUCUGCUGUCAUUUAAGCACAGGUCCCACCCCCACCACACUUGGAGUGGGACCAAAGAAACAGCUGGGGUGACCUGUUUCCCCAAAGCCACAUGCGAGGGCUCAGAGAGUCUUUACAAGGAUGGCUCUGGAUUAACAGAUGUGGCUGGGGGAUUUCGUGCCAUAUCCAGCUGGGAGUACACACAGCUCAGUGGGAAAGAUGGUGAUUAGUGACUCUGCCAAUGCUUUUUAAAAAUGAUUCUUUUUCCCAUUUUAAAUCAGUACAUGCUCAUUAAAGAAACAGAGUUAAAUAUAGAAAAAUACAAAGAACAAGGCACUCCUCGUACCACCACACAAUCACUAGUAACAUUUUGUUUCUCCUUUUUUUCCCUUUUGGUAUUUUCCCUCUGUGAAAUGGCUUUUAAUUCAUUUAUUCUUAAUCAAAAAUUCAAUCUGAGACAUAGUGCAUACAAAAUUUAAAAGUUACAGAGGGUUAUGCAGUGAAAGAGAAUUCUCCCCCUCCCUGUUCCCUUCCUGGAAGGCAGCCUUGGUUACCAGCCCCUUGAGUUUUCCUUCCAAAGUUAAAUCAAUGCACAUAUAAGUAUAUGCAUGCAUAUUCUUUUAUUUUUAAACACACAUUCUUACAUGGUAUAUACUCUCUUCCAUAACUUGCUUUUCCUCAUAACAAUGCAUCUUAGAGAAUAUUCCAUAUCAGUUCAUGGGAGCUGCCUCAUUCAUUUUAAAGGCUGUAUAAUAUUCAGUUGUAUGGAUUGUAUCAUAACUUAUUUAACUAGUCUGAUGUUGAAGGAUAUUUAGUUUGUUUCCAGUCUUUUGAAUUUUUCACAAUGCUGCAAUGAAUAUUCUUAUGCAUAUGUCAUGUCAUGCAUGGGCAAGCAUAUCUGUAGGAUAACUUUCCAGAGUUGCAGUUGCCAGGUUAAAGACCUAAACAUUUUAAAUAUUAUGGGUUAUUGCUUCUUUGAAGGUCAGAUGCAUUGCAAGUGCACAGAGGAGAGUGUUGUUUUCUUGACAUGCUUGCCAACAAUCUGACAGUGAGUUUUGUCAAGUUGGAUAACCUCAUAGGUAAAAAUGGUAUCCUGUCAAAUAUUUUUAUAUAUUAAAAAUCCAUUUUAGGAGUUCCUGUCAUGGCUCAGUGGUUAAUGAAUCUGACUAGGAACCAUGAUGUUGCAGGUUUGAUCCCUGGCCUCGCACAGUGGGUUAAGGAUCCGGCGUUGCCGUGAGCUGUGGGGUAGGUUGCAGACUUGGCUAAGAUCUGGCGUUGCUGUGGCAUAGGCCUGCAGCUGUAGCUCCAAUUAGACCCCUAGCCUGAGAACCUCCAUAUGCCACAGGUGCAGCCCU